CACGCCCUAAACGAUGUACACUAGUUUUACGGAGUAUCGACCCUCUGUGAGACUAAGCUAACGCGAUAAGUGUACCGCCUGGGUAGUACGGCCGCAAGGCUAAAACUCAAAGGAAUAGACGGGGACUUGCACAAGCGGUGGAUUAUGUGGUUUAAUUCGUAGGUAAACGAAGAACCUUACCAAGGUUUGACACCUAACUGAAAGCUCUAAGAAACUAGAGCCCUCGCAAGACAGUUAGGCAGGUGA
This 246-nucleotide ribosomal RNA is filed under the name uncultured bacterium. RNAcentral describes it as "partial 16S ribosomal RNA". It matches the Rfam family "Bacterial small subunit ribosomal RNA", at positions 796 to 1041 of the family's 1533-position model. The record is from RNAcentral.